GACGUAGGUGGCGAACGUUAUCCGGAAUUAUUGGGCGUAAAGGGUGCGUAGGCGGCAUGAUAAGUUAUUGGCGGCAAAUCGAGGCUCAACCUCGUGGAAACUGAUAAUACUGUCUUGCUUGAGCGCAGAAGAGGUUAACGGAACUCCAUGUGGAGCGGUAAAAUGUGUAGAUAUAUGGAAGAACAUCAAUAACGGCGAAGGCAGUUAACUAUUCUGUUACUGACGUUGAGGCACGAAAGCGUGGGGAGCAAAACAG
This 256-nucleotide ribosomal RNA is filed under the name uncultured bacterium. RNAcentral describes it as "partial 16S ribosomal RNA". It matches the Rfam family "Bacterial small subunit ribosomal RNA", at positions 524 to 776 of the family's 1533-position model. The record is from RNAcentral.